GACGAACGCUGGCGGCGUGCUUAACACAUGCAAGUCGAACGGAAAGGCCCUUCUUUUGUGGGGUGCUCGAGUGGCGAACGGGUGAGUAACACGUGAGUAACCUGCCCUUGACUUUGGGAUAACUUCAGGAAACUGGGGCUAAUACCGGAUAGGAGCUCCUGCUGCAUGGUGGGGGUUAGAAAGUUUCGGCGGUGGGGGAUGGACUCGCGGCUUAUCAGCUUGUUGGUGGGGUAGUGGCUUACCAAGGCGUUGACGGGUAGCCGGCCUGAGAGGGUGACCGGCCACAUUGGGACUGAGAUACGGCCCAGACUCCUACGGGAGGCAGCAGUGGGGAAUAUUGCACAAUGGGCGGAAGCCUGAUGCAGCGACGCCGCGUGCGGGAUGACGGCCUUCGGGUUGUAAACCGCUUUCGCCUGGGACGAAGCGUGAGUGACGGUAAUGGGUAAAGAAGCACCGGCUAACUACGUG
This 468-nucleotide ribosomal RNA is filed under the name uncultured bacterium. RNAcentral's name for it is "partial 16S ribosomal RNA". It matches the Rfam family "Bacterial small subunit ribosomal RNA", at positions 28 to 507 of the family's 1533-position model. The record is from RNAcentral.